CUAAUUCACUCCUUGAAUUGUCACUCGCAGGAUCCAAAUCUGGAGCCGGAUGAUUGUGCUGUCCGAUUGUAUCUAAUACUUUAUUUAUGCCCGAAUUUGUCUUCAAAUUUACCGGACAGCCAAUGCUGAGACAUCUCCACGAGAUUCUACCAUCAACCAUAAUGCGAUCCCUUUUGAAAUUAAAUCCAUCAACCUCAAUAGCGACAUUCCCUCUCGUCCUCGCUGUAAAUUUUCUUAUUAAAGGAGUCAUAAUUAAAGCUCAGUUCGAGCACAGUUCAGCGCGGCGUCACUCAGUUCAAGGAAUAUAAAGAUGAAGUCAGUUUUCACUGGGAAUUAGAGAUUCAUAAGGGAAAAGGAUAAGGAAGCGUCUUGAGGGCAAUCAAAACAAAAGCGGAGAAGGAAGCCCCUGAGUCAGGAUAUGAUUGUGCGAAUAUAGGUAAUAGAAUAAAGUCUUCUUGAUUUAAACUACGCGCUUUUGAAGUACUAUGGCUACGAGUAAACAAACAAGUUGAACAGCUGUGAAGCGCUCGGUCUAUUGACAGAUAGUGAUAACACUUUCUCUCUCUUACCGUUAUCAGCUAAUCGACGUCACAAUUCAAUAGGCCUACUGGCUCUAGCAGACGACAGAUAGAUUCAGUACGGUAGUUGCUUAUUGUUAUUAGCAAUCGCAGGCAAAAACCGGCAGUCAGAAAUGGCCGAAAAUCUGUCAAGACCGUGUAAAAAGUUCGUAAGCUUCACUUGAAUAUCAGUAUCUAUACUUACAGUUAACCUUACGUGGAUAUUAUCAGCAGUUACCAUCUUCAAGUGGAGAAUGGGAAUCGAUAUCAAAGGAGUUUGAAGAAAAAUGGAAUUUCCCCCAUGUACUGGGGGCAAUGGACGGGAAACAUGUCCAGCUACAAGCACCAUGGAACAGUGGCACUGAAUACUACAAUUACAAACAUUUUUUUAGUAUUGUGCUAUUUGCCUUGGUUGAUGCCAAUUAAAAUUUUCUGUAUGUAAAUGUUGGCAGUCCUGGAAGAUUCUCAGAUGGGUGUUUUUAAAAAUACUGAGCUGUAUAGAAAACUAGAAAAUAGGACACUUAAUAUCCCCAGUCCAAAACCAUUACAAAUUCCUUACAGAAUAGAAGUUCCUUACUUCAUCUUGGGUGAUCAAGCUUUUGAACUUAAUGACUACACUAUGACACCAUUUAGAGGAACUCCACAUGCAGGUUCAAUUGAACGAAUAUUCAAUUAUAGAUUGUCCAGGGCACGCAGGGUAGUCGAAAAUACCUUUGGAGUAGUCAGUUCAAAGUUUGAGUUUUUGUUGAAGCCCAUACGACUUCAACCAGAAAAGGCCAAGAUUGUAGUUUUACCUGUUGCAUAUUUACACAACUACCUAUGAAAACAAACAUCUUCAAAUCAAUUGUACAUGCCCAGUGGAAUGGUAGGUAGAGAGGAAAGUGGAGAGUUAAUCCCAGGAGCAUGGAGACAAGGACAAAUAUCUGGUAGCUUGAUACCACUUGGAUAUACACCAAGAAGAUUGGGCAUUGCAUCUAAAAACAUUCAAUUACAUUUAGCUCAACACUUUUCUACAAAUGGCUCAAUCCCAUGGCAAAACAACUAUUCGUAAUAAAUAUUGCACAAUAGCACUAAUACUUAAGUAGUAUGAGUACAUAUACUUGCUAAAUAUAAGUAAGUAGGCUACUUGUUCAAUAUAUUUGGAUUUUUGUUAGAUUUUGGAUUUUACUAAUAAGUUGAAUUAUUUUAUAAAUGAUAGAUUAUUACAAUACCAUUCUUAAUGAUAUCAUUCCAAUGAUACCAUUAUUUAUUCUUAUGAAUUAGGUACUGACAACCAACAUUUGGACUCACUUUCCUCUAUAGGGCUAGGCUAUAUACCUACUAAAAUUAUUAUUGAACAACAAUAAAAUUUAUCAAGUAGCUUACCCAUUUUUGAUUUUAUCAAAACACAACUAGUUUUAUUAGAGCCAUUUUCAAGUGGCACUAGUUGUAUUUCGAUAAAUAAUAAAAAUGGUUGAAUUUAUUAACAAGUUAUUUAAUUGUUGAAUUUUACUGUGUUCCAACAUAUCGACUAAUUUAAUGAAAAUUAGUCCAUGAUUUAUUACUGCAUCCGAACCACAAAUGAAAUAAGCAAAUCUUACUUUACUUUCCAACGUGUCCAUUGCAUCUUUUGGAAUGCUCUUGUCACCAAGAAACUGCUUGAAAAGAUUGUAUGCAAACCACUUGCUUUUGUAAACGUCAUCUCCACCUGUAAAUUUGAAAGAUUAAUGAAAAUUAUGUUUUAUAUGAGCUUUAUAGUUUUUAAUAAUUUAAUCAAAUGUUAUUGUAGUGCUGUGAUUUUGUUGAUAUAAAUGGAAAGAAAUUAAGUGAAAAGACAAAUAAAGAUGAAUUAUUGUCCAGUUGCUGGGUAUUUGGCUCAGUCUUUUUUAGAAAAUAUAAUAAUAAAAUGUAUCAUUAUGAAAAAAAUGUGAUGUCAGAUUUUUAACACAAUUAACUGUAAAAUAAGUUUAUAUGAAUUAAAUUUUAAUGUUGUUUUGGACAAACAUUCUACAUUUAUAUUAUUUCCCUUGAUUAUACUUUGGAUAAGAAAUGUGAAUUAAAGUUGUGAGUCUUUAUAUUCAUGCAUAUUCAUUAAAUAUUUCCUUGCAUAAGGACAAAAGUU
Long non-coding RNA from Nilaparvata lugens (brown planthopper), 2658 nucleotides. RefSeq lists it as uncharacterized. The transcript is spliced from 2 exons. Lineage: Eukaryota; Metazoa; Arthropoda; Insecta; Hemiptera; Delphacidae. The record is from RefSeq and is a predicted model, not a curated record.